Molecule: transfer RNA, 75 nt
Filed under: Alphaproteobacteria bacterium
Lineage: Bacteria; Pseudomonadati; Pseudomonadota; Alphaproteobacteria
Description: tRNA-Asn
Rfam family: tRNA
About the family: Transfer RNA (tRNA) molecules are approximately 80 nucleotides in length.
Source: RNAcentral
UCCUCGGUAGCUCAGUGGUAGAGCAAACGACUGUUAAUCGUUUGGUCGCUGGUUCGAAUCCGGCCCGGGGAGCCA